RNAcentral lists this long non-coding RNA (835 nucleotides) under Hordeum vulgare. RNAcentral's name for it is "long non-coding RNA (HVUL_LNC014965)". Lineage: Eukaryota; Viridiplantae; Streptophyta; Magnoliopsida; Poales; Poaceae. The record is from RNAcentral.
UUUUUCUCUAUUGUCUAUGAAGGUAAGAUACGUGAAAUAACAACUGUUCACUCUCCAAUAACAAGCAUGUGCUUAUAGAGAUUUUUGUUUGUUGCUCACCUGAAAGUUAUAUGCAACUCUGUAUUUUUUAAACUAACUAGACUGUCGGACUAAUAAUUGAAUGUCUGUUUGUUCACAUGUCUGAGAUUUAUGGGUUCAAAUUCACACAAAACCCAUAUUAUUGUUCCGUUGACAUACACCACGGAGAAGACAACACAAUAAUUUUAUUUUUAUGUAAUUGUUGACGUAAAACUGCUCAACUUUUUCGCUACCAACAGAAGACACGGGGAUGACAGCGAAUCAUCGAGUAAUAACCAAGAUCAGCUAGAUGUAUCAACCUGCCUCAUUGUGGCUGUGCGGAGACAUUGAUGAUUAUGAGUCUCUCAUGUUACCAUGAGUUCCACCUCGGUAAGGGUGCAUGGAUCGAUUGAUUCAUAGUCGAGCCUCUCCUGCUUAUCAUAAUUUUCAUAACUGAGUGAACGGAUGCGUGAAUGUUUUGUUCCUUUUGGUAGGAGAAUAUUAGGCAAAGUAGUGGCUCAAACCGGCAGGAUUAGGAGCUGAAGGAGUGAGUGGGUAAAGUCGAUGAGUGAAAAGGCAUCUUCACCAGCAGCAACUCCACCAUCACAUUUAGCAGCACUCGGGUAGAACCAAAAAAGAGCUUUAUAUAGAUGGAUAUCUUCUAAUCAACCUGUACUGUGUUUAUUAUAGUGCUAUGCACAGAAAAAAUAUUUUCCCUAAGCAUACUGCUCCUUUUAUCAAUUGUUUAUGACUACAUAUGGAUGGAUGAUUAAAGGCG